Molecule: long non-coding RNA, 1071 nt
Organism: Haemorhous mexicanus (house finch)
Lineage: Eukaryota; Metazoa; Chordata; Aves; Passeriformes; Fringillidae
Exons: 3
Source: RefSeq, a predicted model, not a curated record
CAUUCCCAUUGUGAUCUGCAAAUGGCAAAUCAGGGUUGCUCUUUGUUAAAACCAAAAGCGCUCUCAGAAUGUUGAUGGAGGUGAUGAUUGCAGGGGCGAUGCUUCUGGAGAAUAGCUCCCCCAUCUUCCCCAGGGCCUGGGCAGAGAGAGGUGGAGCUCGGAGUCCCCCCAGUCCUCCCGCGGGUGCUGGCGUCUGCAGCGCCAUCGGGACGGGAUCCACGGCGCAGCUCCCUCCUCCAGAGGCCGAAAGCUCAGCCUCCAGUUUCGUGCAGGGUGAUCACCUUUCCGAGGCAAUACAAGCACUUCCCAAGAGCAGCUGGUGAAGAUGGCGCAGAAGCAAGGACAAGGGUGCAGUGAAAAGUUUGGUGCAUCGAUCCAGCUUCCGGACAUGUGAUCUUCUACCCUGCCCCACGGCAAGAAGAGUUUGGUGACUUUGCUGCUCUGCUCUCUCAAGGGUGUUGCAGGCUGCGUAGCAGGGAGUGAAGCCCUUGUCGCUGCUCAUCAGACACUUUCCUGCAGAAUUCUCCCUGCAGUGAUAAAAUUAGACUGGUGUUAGUGAGCUGCCAAGUAGAGCAGGUAACAUUGGACAAGAAUUGUUUCUGAGCUGCUGUUCACUAGCACGUGUUUCCCCUUUCCAGCGCGGUGCCGCCGCCCAAGAAAGGAUUUUUGUGGGUCAGCCAGAUGUGCUCCUGCCUCCCACUGAGGCUCUGAGAUGGAGCCGAGUUUGCAUUCCAGUUUAUUGCAACAGAGGGUCACGGGAAAUUUCCUCAGCUAUCUCAGGCACAGAGCCAUGGAAGCAAGACAGCACGAAGACUGAACGUGUAAGAAGAUGUGGGGUGCAAUGGAGAACCUGGGAGGAGCAUCCGACGCACACGUGCACGAGUUUUGCUUUUUGCUUGGAUUGAAACUCAAAAGUUGUAAGGAAUUUGGGAAUGAGAUGGGACGUUUCAGAAGAAGAGGAAGGAGGAGAAGAAGUUGUUGUUACAGUGUUACAGUCCUGGCAAAAUCCUUUGUUCUAGCUAAUAAAAGAAGUUAGUUAAAAAAAAAAAAUUAAAAAAAAAAAAAAAAGUG